AUUGAACGCUGGCGGCAUGCCUUACACAUGCAAGUCGAACGGCAGCACGGGAGCAAUCCUGGUGGCGAGUGGCGAACGGGUGAGUAAUAUAUCGGAACGUGCCCGGUCGUGGGGGAUAACGUAGCGAAAGCUACGCUAAUACCGCAUACGAUCUACGGAUGAAAGCGGGGGAUCGCAAGACCUCGCGCGAUUGGAGCGGCCGAUAUCAGAUUAGGUAGUUGGUGAGGUAAAGGCUCACCAAGCCGACGAUCUGUAGCUGGUCUGAGAGGACGACCAGCCACACUGGGACUGAGACACGGCCCAGACUCCUACGGGAGGCAGCAGUGGGGAAUUUUGGACAAUGGGCGCAAGCCUGAUCCAGCAAUGCCGCGUGCAGGAUGAAGGCCUUCGGGUUGCGAAACUGCUUUUGUACGGUAACGAAACGGUGAGCUCUAAUACAGUUUGCUAAUGACGGUACCGUAAGAAUAAGCACCGGCUAACUACGUG
Molecule: ribosomal RNA, 486 nt
Filed under: uncultured bacterium
Lineage: Bacteria
Description: bacterial SSU rRNA
Rfam family: Bacterial small subunit ribosomal RNA
Source: RNAcentral